UGGGGAAUUUUGGACAAUGGACGCAAGUCUGAUCCAGCCAUGCCGCGUGCGGGAAGAAGGCCUUCGGGUUGUAAACCGCUUUUGUCAGGGAAGAAACGCUCUGGGCUAAUACCCUGGGGUAAUGACGGUACCUGAAGAAUAAGCACCGGCUAACUACGUGCCAGCAGCCGCGGUAAUACGUAGGGUGCAAGCGUUAAUCGGAAUUACUGGGCGUAAAGCGUGCGCAGGCGGUUGUGUAAGUCAGAUGUGAAAUCCCCGGGCUCAACCUGGGAAUUGCAUUUGAGACUGCACGGCUAGAGUGUGUCAGAGGGGGGUAGAAUUCCACGUGUAGCAGUGAAAUGCGUAGAUAUGUGGAGGAACACCGAUGGCGAAGGCAAUCCCCUGGACCUGUACUGACGCUCAUGCACGAAAGCGUGGGGAGCAAACA
Molecule: ribosomal RNA, 427 nt
Filed under: uncultured bacterium
Lineage: Bacteria
Description: bacterial SSU rRNA
Rfam family: Bacterial small subunit ribosomal RNA
Source: RNAcentral